Molecule: long non-coding RNA, 223 nt
Organism: Danio aesculapii
Lineage: Eukaryota; Metazoa; Chordata; Actinopteri; Cypriniformes; Danionidae
Exons: 4
Source: RefSeq, a predicted model, not a curated record
GUCUGUCUGGUCAGUUGAGGAUCACUCAUCAGCUCAUAUCAGGACAAGAUCUUAAUCAUGGAUCAGUGGAAGGUUGCCGUUUGAUCAGGGUUUUGGAUAAAGAGAAAUGAAUCAGAUUGUCAAAAAUGGCAAUGGCUUCCUCUCUUCAUAAAGGUUUCAUCUUUGUUGUGCUGUAUAUCUUGACACAUAAUUUAGCUUCUAUUACAACCACACAAGAGACCAC